Molecule: long non-coding RNA, 1315 nt
Organism: Alligator mississippiensis (American alligator)
Lineage: Eukaryota; Metazoa; Chordata; Crocodylia; Alligatoridae
Exons: 2
Source: RefSeq, a predicted model, not a curated record
GUUACCCGCCCUUCUCUGGUGGCUGCGAGGCGCAGGGGUCGGGGCACCGCGCCGCGACUAAUCAAUGGUAUUAGUCUCUUAUUGAGCAAGGCAUCGCACACCUGCGUUUGCCAUCUUCUCCACUUCUCUUUUUGGCAGCAAGCAAAGGGGGUUGACCCCCAAAGGCGACCUGUUUCAUGUGAUUUGCAGAUAAAGCCUCAGGUGGCCGGUUCAACCAGACAGCAAAGACAAGCGACAUCUCCCAUUAAUCCCUUUUCAGCAAGGGAGUCAGCAUCCUGGGUGACCAGCUCGGAGGCACUCAACACGCGGCGGGCACAAGAGAACCACUGCAGAAAUGAACGGGGGCAGCAGCAGAUGUGGGGAACCUGGAUAUGAAAUGACGGGAGAGAGAGGAGAAACAGCGCAGUGGGGAGAACUGGGCAGUGCCACACCGUAGCUCAGGCUUCAGAGUGUGAAAGGCUGUCAGUGCUCGACCCUUUUGCGAGCAGGGCAGCACCACACCGCAGCUCGGCAAGAUGAGCCUGAGAGCAGACAGCGGAGACCUCCCGGCCCUUGCCCGCUACAGGCCCAGAUGGUGCGUAAGGGAGAGCUGCGGAUGGAGGCCCGUGGACCUUGCCCACAGACAACCCAAAUGGCACCUUAAGGGAGGACUGCAGAUGGAUGCCCAUGGACCUCACCCGCUGCUGACCCAAAUGGCACCAUAAGGGAAAGGAGCAGAGACUUCCAGGCCUGACUGCUGCCGACCCCCUGGAUCACCGGCAGAGCAAUCACAGGCAUUGGGCCACCAGAUGAAGCCAUGACAGACUGGGGCAAGGAUCCUACAUCUAGUGUUGGAAUUUAGAUUAAAAGAGGAAACCACAUUUGGGAUUUCUGCGAUUAAGCCCCACUUCCACGGAAGGACAUAGCCAAUUCGUACAACAUGCGACUCAUUUUAUGUGAAAAAAGUGACAAUGUUAAUGAAAUGAAAGAAAAAAUCAGAAAAAAAAAAUUGCAAGAUUGCCGACCUCCAAGUGUUUGCCAUUGUUAACUAGGGGAGUCUUCUCUAGAGAAAGUUACAAUUUCAUUUUAAAUAAUCACACACUUGAAGACCGAAAAUCAUUUUGCAAGAACUUUAUUUUGAAAAACAUGGAGUUAAAAUACCAUUUCCAUUCUCCUGUGGGGAUGAUAAAGUUUCAUAUAAAACAAUGAACAAAAAUAUUUGGUACAAAUAUUCAUAAAAGGGUAAUGGAAUCCACAUUUACAGUUGUGAAAUUUAUCUACAUUUAUCUGUAAUUAAAAGAAAUCAAACAUUAAAAAGGAUCUCUUGGUCAAAGCA